AGAAUUUUCGAAGCCGGCCUUCCGAGCGAGAGCUCAUCUGCUCGAGAGCCACUUUUUACGGUCUAAUAAAAACCCGGGACAAAUUACUGCGUUCGAGUUUUAUUGAUUAUCGAGCAGACGAAAUCCGGAUUCGGCCCGUUCGACGAAAGGACCAAAACGAAAGCGCAUGUACCGUACAAGAACGAGAUCGCGACUCAGCUUCGUCUUCGUAAAAUUAUCCUUGCGGAGGUACACGGGGCUGAAAUAAUGCCGGCGCGAACUGUUUACUACGUUACGUGGGCGUGAUUAAGGCUCGUGGCAAACGAACCGUUCAUUUUCACCGUCCGUCCACGACUUUUUUCUUUUCUUUCGACAUCUCCGCACCUUUCCGGUGUAUGUGCAUCAGUUACUCGCAGGAAGGAGGCCGCAGGAAGAGACGCGCGGUGGCCAUCAACGCUCCGACCAGGGAUAUCGCAACGACAAUCGAACGUCUGUCACGGGACAAUGGCCAGGACUACGCCCAGCAAUCAGUUUCGCCGGUUCACCGGCGUGACAUGAACUCUUUGUACAUACGUACACAUCCGUAUAUACAUACUGUCCGCGCGUGGACUCCAGAUAUCAACCUGAAGGGUUUGGUGGCUACGCAGUCAACAGUAGCGUACAACACGUGUUGCGCCUUCACGACAUACCAACAUCUAUGCAACAUUGCAGAAAGGGCAUCCGGUGCACCAACUUCGCGUUAGUUCGCGCUCGUGCCACGAGUCCAUGACAUCGGGACACACCCACGAAGGAAAUACGCCGCAUCCUUUUCUCGCAGCGAGCUUCCUUCAUGGAAGUCGACUGACCAUGGGGUCAUGCGGUCUGUACUCCGAGGAUCUUAAUCAAGCUGUUCGUGCCUUUUCCUUUAUUCGCAGGCAAAUGAUAAUUGUAGUUCUAUGCGACAAUUGAUACGUCGAUUUAUCAAUAUGCUGACACUUUGACAAAUAUGACAUGGUUCACGUGCAAUAUAAAUAUUGCCUGUAUUGUAUAUUAAGAAUAUAGAGAAAGCAGGGAAA
Ceratina calcarata is the source of this 1034-nucleotide long non-coding RNA. RefSeq lists it as uncharacterized. The transcript has 2 exons. The record is from RefSeq and is a predicted model, not a curated record. Lineage: Eukaryota; Metazoa; Arthropoda; Insecta; Hymenoptera; Apidae.